UAGGGAAUCUUCGGCCAUGGACGAAAGUCUGACCGAGCAACGCCGCGUGAGUGAAGAAGGUUUUCGGAUCGUAAAACUCUGUUGUUAGAGAAGAACAAGGACGUUAGUAACUGAACGUCCCCUGACGGUAUCUAACCAGAAAGCCACGGCUAACUACGUGCCAGCAGCCGCGGUAAUACGUAGGUGGCAAGCGUUGUCCGGAUUUAUUGGGCGUAAAGCGAGCGCAGGCGGUUUCUUAAGUCGGAUGUGAAAGCCCCCGGCUCAACCGGGGGGGGUCAUUGGAAACUGGGAGACUUGAGUGCAGAAGAGGAGAGUGGAAUUCCAUGUGUAGCGGUGAAAUGCGUAGAUAUAUGGAGGAACACCAGUGGCGAAGGCGGCUCUCUGGUCUGUAACUGACGCUGAGGCUCGAAAGCGUGGGGAGCAAACAGG
Molecule: ribosomal RNA, 429 nt
Filed under: Gemmatimonadota bacterium
Lineage: Bacteria; Pseudomonadati; Gemmatimonadota
Description: Gemmatimonadetes bacterium partial 16S ribosomal RNA
Rfam family: Bacterial small subunit ribosomal RNA
Source: RNAcentral